GAUUCCUCAAGCCAACUGCCUACAUGAAGAAAAAGCAUUAACUGUAGGGAUCGGAUUGAUUAGUGAACAUUCCUGUCUGGUAGCAUAAGGAAAGACAUCAAGGAGGUGGAAAAGAAAGAUGUGGAUCAGCAAUCAAAGAGGAGGCAGCAAAAGAGAGGUCAUUUAAUGCACCCUUGCCUCCAGGUUAGGCCAUUUUUGGUGAACUCACAUUUCAGGAAUUCUGGAUUCAGGAAAAUUUAAUUUCAAGCAGCUGACCUUUCACUGUGAUGCAGCUGGGGAAAGAUCUGGAAGGUUGGUACCAUUCUGGGCCAGCCAGGUGCAAAAAUAAUUCCCAGGGGAUGAUGGAUGAAGCCAACCUGAAGAGUGCAGGGGCCUGCCUGGAACAAGGGUGGUGCACAAAAAGGAUAUCAGGAACAUCCCUGGGUGAUGAGCCUCCUCUCCCGGGGCCCUGGACCAACCCCAGACCAAAUCAAAGAUAAAUAUGAAAGGGAAGUUGCUUUGUGAGAGGGCCAGAAAGACUUUUUACCUGGGAAAAAGAACAAGUCUUGAGGUCUGAGAGUGAGGAGAGAGAAAAUCCUCUGAACUAAUAAUUUCUUUAUUCAUUGUCAGGAGUGAAUUUUUUUUUUUUUUUAAUGGCUUUGCCUGAUGUCAGUCUAGAACAAAAAUUGAUGCUCUAGCACUGCCCACGAGAUGCUCCCAAGCUCUAUUUCUGUGUUUCCUGCGUUAUUCUGUAACCCUACAACAUGAGUUUCUGUGUGUAGGUGUUUUGGGAACAUAUUUAGGAAGCUGCUGUUCUUCUGGCCAGAGGUCUCAAUGGAAUUCCUCCUUCUGAGACACGAGGUUGGUGCCAUGGGUUUCUCUGCAGCAGAGCAGUGUUUCUCUUAUUGAAAAUAUUUCAAUAAGAAACAAGAGAGAUUCAACAUUGUUGAUAUCUCUGAAUGCACCCAGCCUGCCUGAGCUGCCACAUACCAUAUUAAUCCAGCAAAUGUCCUGUACUGGGAAUUACAACUCUUCAUCUUCUCCCAGGUUUUUAUCAGCCCCUUGAAAUGCAUUUUUUCAUACAGUCUUUUAGCAAAGUAGCCCAUUCUAGCACUGAAUUGGAAGCACAAAAUAACAAAUGUCGAUAAUGUUCCAGACAAAAACCUGGCAGAAAGGUGCCUGGGAAAAUUUGUGGGCUUCAUUGGUUGCCACAGGUAGAAACACAGCUCUGGUGCAGCAAAUUAGCUGAUUAUGAGCUACUUAAAAAUUCAAAUUCAGACAGCCCUUCAGACACAAUUUAAACCAUUAUUUUAAGUGCAAACUGGGCUAAAAAUAAUUGGAUUCUAACCUCAUACCUCCUAAGCCUGUACCCAAGGUUUCUAAAUGGAGAAUGGAUCAGCCCAUUUGGAGUUGUGAAUCCCAGGCUGGAGGUGUUUGUGUCCCUGCUGCCCCUGAAAGGAGUCUGUUCAGACUUCCCUACCCAGUCUGGAGGCUUUCCUCCCCAGCCCAGUGCCUCCAGCAAGGGGAGAUGGAUCUUAUCAUCAGGCUGCAAUUUGUAGAGUAAUUAGGACCUUGACUGUGACAACCUUUAGCCUGUCAGCAGUUGUGGUUUAGCUCAUAGUUAAAAUGACAGUGGAAAGUCUAUUGCAGCUACUCUAAAUAUAUCCAUAUUUUAACUAGAUGAGGUGAUAUGAGGGUUUGCAGUGAUUUGUUUAGAUAUACAGGGGAGUGUCAAAGGACUCUUUAAACUGGGACUGAAUCCAUUUGAUUGUCUGAAAGGUGAUUUUGAUUGCCUUUUCCUCCUUUAGAGCUGGAUGGUGAUGAGAGCAGCUUUCCUGCAAUGGGAAAGCAGGGAAUCCCCAAAGUACAACCAAAGAGUAGGUACAAACCUGUCACGUGCUCUAUUCCACAUCAAGAAAUGUCUUUUAUUCAGAUUUAGCAAAUUAGCAGGUAGAGCUAAUCAAGCAAUUUGACCACUGAGCAAUUUUUAAUGCUCCAACAAACUGACCUCAAACUACACAAAGGCUGUGCAGCUGAAUUGUAAACUCCUUUUAUAUACAUAGAUUUUUUUUUUUUCUAUCCCGCCUACAUUUCAGCACACUUUUAAGGAGUUGUCAUUAUCCUAAUUAUAAUUAAGGCACUUGAAAUAAAUCCAGAGAUAGUAAACAGUGUAAAAAUAUCUAAAUAGGGGAGCUGGUCCAUUGAUUUUAUGGCUAAGUUAUCACCUCAUGUAUAAAUGCUACAAUUGAUAAACAAUACCUUUAAUUCAGCAGUCAAAAUGAUGCUAUUAACUUGGAAAACUGAUGAAAAAAAAUGCUAAUGUGAAUACCUCUGUUUCUAAGCAGAGUGACAAGAAUCACUGCUCCAUACGAGCCAAUCCGAGGGCAGAUUGAACUUUUGGCACACAAAUCAGUGGUGGAGAGGAGGAAUUUCCUUCUCACUGGGAAUGCUGGGUUGCUCCUCCUGGACCAGGGAGUUUUCUAUCAAAAUCACAAUAUCUCAAGUAUUAACACCAGAGGCAAUUAAUGGGAUUUCCAAGAGUGUCUGGGGCCUGGAUGCCAGUCGAGUUUCUAGGUGAUUUUUAAAUGAUGUCUAGAACCCAUCUGCAUCCUUUGGCACCCACAGCCCUUCAAACUGUCAACUUUAGAUGUCUGCCUUGAUUUGUGAUGGGUCUAGUCUGAAGCAAAACUAAUUGUGACUGACAGCACAAAAAGACAGGUGCAGAAUUGAAGCACAGGUCUUGGGCUCACAGAGCUGAUGGACUUUUAGUGUAUUUUUAAUGUUUCACUUUCACUGGCUCCUUAAUUAAAUAAAAAUAUUUUAGAUAGAGCAGCAGAAAUCAACUUCUUUGACUGAUAUGAAUCCUGUUUACUCUCCAACUCUGAACUCAGCAGGUUAAGUAAUUGGGAGACAGAAAAGUUCCUAUAUUUCUAUUUCCAGCUGGUGGUACACAAAAGGCAGGAAGUUAUCUCAUUAAUGGGGCACCAGCUUUAUGCAAAUUAUAGUAACAAAAAGGCUUCCCUUCAUACUUUUCAUAAAUUACCUAAUAAAGUAGGAAUAAAUGGCCAUAUUCAAGAGCCUUUGUUGUAUUUUUAGCACAAGACUCUUUCUGUUACUGCAAAUAUGACUAAAUGCGCCUCGUUCAAAAGGGGUGUUUAUGAAAUAAGGCCACUCAAAAGCUUUUAUUCCUUAACAGCCUUCAGUUACUUUUAUGGCACAAAAUUAACAUAAUUAGUCACAGAGAAUAGAUGACAUAAGCAGCGUGCCAUGCACAAAAGGGGAAACCAGUAUCUAAGGAAGGUAUUUUGAGAGAUCAAAAAUUUUCAAAGUGCUCAAUACUAGAAGGUCCUUUUUAUUUGUGCACAGCCUUAAGAUACUUUCUUACUCCGUGAAAUUCCCAUAAUGAGAUGCAGCAGACAGAUGACAUUAGCGAUGAGCCAUUAGAAAGAGGUCAGUUUCCUCUGAAAGAUAGUCACUGUUCCUGCUCGUCAUUAAUUUGCAGCUUCAAAGCAGCGAGCAUAUGAUAGUCUGGCAUGUUAAGCAAGUUGCAGUUAUCUUUAAAUAACCAUUUUUUUCCAGUUAUUAGAAGCUAAAGUUUUUAAACUUCUGACUGAAAGCAAAAUUAAAGCACGCAGCAGUGUAAAAAGGCUACGGAGAGAUUAGAAAAAGGAAAUCAAAUGUGUUUUAGAAAUGAAGUUAGCUUUUCCCUAGGGAAAGGCUGCCUUAACUUUUAGUCCGAGAAUUUGGGGUUGCAUAUUGACCUCAGAGACUUGAUUGCUUGCUGGUAAAGGAGAGAAACUCACUAUUUUUAGCUGUUAUCUCCUUGUUGGUUAGCACAGCCAGAUGUAAAGGGCAGAAAUGCACAACUAUGGAAAUAACAUUUACCAGAAGGAAAGAUACCCGAGGUUCUUGAGCAAGGUGGGGGAAGAUAAAUGUAUCUUCUGUCCUUGUGGUUUGGUGGGAGCUUUGGUUACACCUCUGCUUUGGCAAUGAAGUAUAUUUGGAUAUUAGGAAAGGCUCAGGAGGUUCAGAUCAUCCCUUUUCCAUGAAUCCUUAGGCGCAGUGCAACAGGCAGGAGACAACUCCAACGUGUGGCAUUGAAAUCUUGAUGCAAAAAGCCUUGUCAGAUCUCUAAAUUGUGUCCCAUGUCCCAGUGGGAACUAAAACCCCUCCUGUUUGGGUGAAUUAUCUGAUCAUGUUGAGGCAUAAGCCCACUGAAUUAAAUUCUAAUUUAUAAUAAUGUCCGUAAGGCAAAUUAAUACUUCUGAUUUCCUCAAACCUGUGUUGACUCCAGUAACUCUGGCACAGCACAAAUCCACUGGCAGUGCUCUCCUCUAUUCAGCAUUGUCCAGGCAGCAGGACCAAAUCUUGGCUUGAAGAAUCAGCCAGCACUGCUUAAACCAGAAUCCUUGUGAGGCUUCACCCCUGACAGACUCGGCAUCAGGCAUAAAGUGAAGACCAGAAAUGAAAGCUCCAGGGUCCUCAACACAGGAAAGACAUGGAUCUGCUGGAGAGGGUUCCAAUGAAGGACGAGGAGAUGAUUAGAGGGGUGAAACAUCUCUGCUGAGGAAAAGCUGAGAGGGAUAAAUGGGAUAUUGGUAAAUAACUCUUCCCUUGGAGGGCACAAAUCACCCAGAGGAGCUGUGGCUGUUCCUGGAUCCCUGGAAAUGUCCAAGGCCAGGCUGGACAGGGCUUGGAGCCCUCUGGGAUAGUGGAAAGUGUCCCUCUGGAUUGUAGAUGACCUUUUGGCCCCUUCUAACCCACACCAGCUGGGGAUUCCGUGUACUGGAAUUCCACUCUGCUUGGAGAGUGGAUGAGGAGUUUUCAAUUUCAGUUUUUACUUUUGGUGCUCAGAAAUCUGUUCAGUCCUUCUCAUCCACAAGAGAUGAGACAGUACUUGGAAAUCAAUCCAGGUUUUUACAGCUUAAAAGAUUAGCCUACCACAAGGAACUGUUUUACUUUAUUAUUGUUGGUUUUAUUAACAAAAUUGCUGGCAAUCCCAAGACUAUAAUUUAUAUCAGUAUCCUAUUGUGGUAAAACCCCCAAAAACACAUAUGAAGACAGAGAACCUGACCCAAACAAUUUGGUGAAAAAAUAGACACGCUAUUGAACAUGACAAGGAAUGAGUGGUGACUUAGAUUUGUAAAUCAUCCAGUCAAUCAUGUUAUAUUCAUAUCAUAUAUCAGGAUUUCUAUUCAUUUUAACAGGUCUCAAUUAUUUUAAUAUAUGGGCCAAUAAAUGGAUACAUGUUCAUCUCUCAAGGAAGCUGAUUUCUUACUGCCACCACGGAAGUCACAGAUAUGGAAAAAUGGGAAAAAUUGGCUUUGGACCAGACAUGAUGUAAGUAUGGAUGAAGGGAGGAGUGGCAGGGAGGGGUGGCAUUGAUGAAAAAACAAUGGAAAAUAGAGGAAGGUGAAAUACUCAAAAGGUCAAGCAGGAAAAGAGUGCAAGGAUAGGCAGGAAGGGAUGGUCAGCACUCAGGGUUUACACAGGUCUUACAGAAAAGGAGAAAGAGGUAAUCCCAUGGAUGAGAAUGUCACUGAAAAUUUCAUUGAAUUGACCUGGAAGCCUGAAAAUCUAAAUUGGUAGAGAAGUAUAAGCAACUUUAUUUCUGUUGGUUUUAGCUCAUAAAAUUGUUGUUCGUUUCCAUGUCUCCAUUAACAUUGAUUUUCCAAAUCCAUAUCAAAUUUAUGUUUCACCCAAACACCUCAGAGUGGGUGAAAGUGCAGAGGCCAAACUAAUAAUUUGAGAUUUGAGCUGAGGCCUAUCCAGGGUGAAAUUUGACUGUGGUUUUGCAUUACUUCUUUCAGUGAUUCACUGUUUGAACUUGUGCAUGCUUUUCCUUUCAGGUGUGAGUUUCACUGUAUUAACAUUACUCAGAGGAGCAACAAACUGCACCACCUUACUUAGCCACAGAUUGUUUUGGUUCUGCAAACUGAUCUCUUGUAUUUGCUAUUUCACUUGCUCAUUUAUUUGGAAUUCUUAAAUUUAUUUGGAUUACUCUGAAUCUUGUAGCUAUUAGCAUAGAAACAUGGAGUGAUUUUGGAUGGAAGACACCUUAAAACUCAUGUCAUACCAAGCCCCUGCCAUGGGCAGGAACACCUUCCACUGUCCCAGGGUGAUCCAGCCUGGCCUUGGACACUUCCAGAGAUCCAGAGACAUCCACAGCCUCUCUGGGCACCCUCUGCUAGGGCCUUACCACCUUCAGGGUAGAAUUUCAUCCUAAUAUUCAUUCUAAACUUACUCUUUGCCAGUUUGAAGCUAUUCCCCCUUUCCCGUCCCUCCAGGCCCCUGUAAAUUGUCUCUCCUGUCCUUUCUUGCAGGCUCCCUUCAGGUCCUGGCAGGCCACACUUAAAUCACCCCAAAGCUUUUCUCCAGGUGAACAAUGCCAGCUCUCCCAGCAGAGCUGCUCCAUCCCUCUGCUCAUCCUGGUGCCUCCUCUGGAUGUUCCAGCAGCUCCAGGUCCCUCCUGAUGGGGAAGCCCAGAGCUGGAUUGCUGCUCAGCUCCACAUCCAGCAAGGCCAUUUGCUGCCAUCCAGAGAUGGAGAUACAGCUGAUUUUAAGGUUGCAGCCAGACCUUAGGCUCUACACCUCCCUCAGGAUCAUAUUUGAGCUGCUUUGGCCCUUUUUUUACUAUUUUUGUGUUAUAGAGUAAAAAUGUCAGCUCCCAAAUUUUUGCUUUGCGAAGGAAAGAAAAUUAGCCUUAUUUUUUCAUCUCAGUUAAGGAAGGGAAUGAAUGUUAAGAGCCACAAUUCAUAAAUAGGUGGAAAAAAUUGUUGAUGACUGUCCCAACUUUGGGCUUUACCUCAGUAAAGCUCAUGCCCAGCUGUGAGCAUGUUUAUAUUUUAAUGGGCCUUGGCAUCAACCACAACCUGAGCAAGUCAGAAUUCCAUGUUUCCCCCUCUCAUGUUAGAGUUUGGUAGUACAGCAGAAAACAAAGGAAUUGGAAGAAGAAUCCUAUUAAUUCCGGCUGCUCUAAUGCAAAACCGGGUUUCAUUUUUAGAUUUCUAUUUUCUACUUUAAUUAUAUAAAUCUGAACAUACUUUCAAGAUUAUGAAAUAAGAGCCAGGAAGCCAGUUAUUUUUCAUCAUUUAUUUUUAAAGCAAAUUUAUCUUUGAAUUGUCAUCUGUUAAAAUUCCUGAGAAGCAGACCACAAAUGAGUACAAUAUGAACAUGAUUUUCCAUGCCAGCCCAAUUCAAGUAAAAGAUGUAAAGAUUUUUUUUUUUUUUUUUAGGUUUUCCUUUGAACACUUCAGCUGGACACAAAGUGUGACCAGUUCCACCUCAGCAGGCCUUGGGUCCCUUUCCAAGUUUACAGCGUGUAUGUGCACACUUGCACAUGUACAUACAAAUAAUACCAAGCUAAGGCAUGUAUUGGCAACAUAAACUCAAUUAAAUCUUCAGUUUAAUGGAUUCUGAAACCUUGAAAUAUUCUGCAAAGGGAGCAGCAAUGGGAACACAGGAAAGAGCUAAAAAAUGCUGUCUUGGAAAUCACACAGAAGAUCCCUAAAUGCUUCUUU
This is a long non-coding RNA of Passer domesticus (house sparrow), 7499 nucleotides long. RefSeq lists it as uncharacterized. The record is from RefSeq and is a predicted model, not a curated record. The transcript has 5 exons. Lineage: Eukaryota; Metazoa; Chordata; Aves; Passeriformes; Passeridae.